AGCGAACGUUAGCGGCGGGCCUAACACAUGCAAGUCGAACGCGAAAGGUCUUCGGACUGAGUAGAGUGGCGCACGGGUGAGUAACACGUAGGUAAUCUACCCUUUGGCGGGGGAUAACGUUCCGAAAGGAGCGCUAAUACCGCAUAAGACCACGGAGUCUCCGGACGCUGUGGGAAAAGGUGGCCUCUUCUUGAAAGCUACCACCGAAGGAUGAGCCUGCGUCCCAUCAGCUAGUUGGUAAGGUAAUGGCUUACCAAGGCGAAGACGGGUAGCUGGUUUGAGAGAAUGAUCAGCCACACUGGCACUGGAACACGGGCCAGACUCCUACGGGAGGCAGCAGUGAGGAAUAUUGGGCAAUGGGCGAAAGCCUGACCCAGCCACGCCGCGUGAGUGAUGAAGGCCCUCGGGUCGUAAAGCUCUGUGGAGAGGGACGAAAACCCUGGUUUCAAAUAGGCUCCAGGCUUGACGGUACCUCUUUAGUCAAGCACCGGCUAACUACUGUGCCAGCAG
This 510-nucleotide ribosomal RNA is filed under the name uncultured bacterium. Its description in RNAcentral is "bacterial SSU rRNA". It matches the Rfam family "Bacterial small subunit ribosomal RNA", at positions 29 to 514 of the family's 1533-position model. The record is from RNAcentral.